Molecule: long non-coding RNA, 616 nt
Filed under: Homo sapiens (human)
Lineage: Eukaryota; Metazoa; Chordata; Mammalia; Primates; Hominidae
Description: HSALNT0318598
Source: RNAcentral
CCUUGCCUUGAGUGUGCAUUGGACUUAGUGACUUGCUUCUGGACAACAGAAUAAUGCAGAAGUGAUGGAAUGUCACUUCUGAGUUUAGGUUAUAAAAAGACUGUGGCUUCUGUCUUGGGAGGGCUCUCUCAUACUCUCUCCUUCUUGGAUCUUGCUCUGAAGGAAACCAGCUGCCAUGCAUGAGGAUACUCCAGCAGCUUAUGGAGAAGUCCAUGUGGUGAGGAACUGGGGUCGGUCCACAACCACCUGAGUGAACCUGAAAGUGGAUCUUCCCCUCACUCAAGCAUUGAGUUGACUGCUGGCCCAACCAACAGUUUGUCUGCAACUUCAUGGGAGAUCCUGACUCAGAAGCACUCAAUUAACUCAUGAAAACGACUCCAGUAUGAAUGGUGAAUGUAAUUUAAUGUGUCAUGGAAAUGCAGAGCUGUAGAACUGAUUAUUAUGCCCAGUAUAAAUGGAAGAGCUCUAAUCUACGAGUGGAGGUGAAGCAUCCCCAGUGGCCAGGAGGACAACCUUGCCCAGUGACCUUUCCUAGAAGAAGAUUAUAUUGAAAUCAUCAAAGGCCAGUGCGGUGGUUCAUGCCUGUAAUCCCAGCACUUUGGGAGGCCGAGGUGGG